This 72-nucleotide transfer RNA is filed under the name Agromyces sp. RNAcentral describes it as "tRNA-Arg". It matches the Rfam family "tRNA". From Rfam's summary of the family: Transfer RNA (tRNA) molecules are approximately 80 nucleotides in length. Their secondary structure includes four short double-helical elements and three loops (D, anti-codon, and T loops). Further hydrogen bonds mediate the characteristic L-shaped molecular structure. tRNAs have two regions of fundamental functional importance: the anti-codon, which is responsible for specific mRNA codon recognition, and the 3' end, to which the tRNAs corresponding amino acid is attached (by aminoacyl-tRNA synthetases). tRNAs cope with the degeneracy of the genetic code in two manners: having more than one tRNA (with a specific anti-codon) for a particular amino acid; and 'wobble' base-pairing, i.e. permitting non-standard base-pairing at the 3rd anti-codon position. Lineage: Bacteria; Bacillati; Actinomycetota; Actinomycetes; Micrococcales; Microbacteriaceae. RNAcentral also lists the same sequence under 4 other names. The record is from RNAcentral.
GCCUCUGUAGCUCAAUGGAAGAGCAGCGCCGUCCUAAGGCGAGGGUUGGGGGUUCGAGUCCCUCCAGGGGCA